Molecule: transfer RNA, 69 nt
Filed under: Marmota monax (woodchuck)
Lineage: Eukaryota; Metazoa; Chordata; Mammalia; Rodentia; Sciuridae
Description: tRNA.Ala
Source: RNAcentral
GUUUGUGGCUCAGUGUUAUUGUGCUUGCCUAGCAUGCAUGAGGCACUGGGUUCAAUCCUCAGCACCACA